ACCGUCCCCACGAGGCACAGCCCCGGCCCUGCCGUGGGCGGCGAUGCCAGCAGCUGGGACUAGGAGGGCCUCCUGGUCACCCUGCUAGGCGCCCGUACUGUCAUGCCUCAGAGCUGGCAGGUCGUCCCAGGGAUGACAAAGGCCUUCCUGGAGGGAUGGAGCCUUGUGGUUAGGAGCGCGGGGUGCAGAAGCAGGUCUGUGCUCACCUCCGGCUGUGUUUGCCCUGCGUGCUUCGGCCCAUGGUGCUGGUACUGAGCCCCUGGGAACCUCAGCUGCCUCCUUCGCAAAAUGGGAGCUGUGGCACCUGCUUCAGAGGUGUCCGUGAGAAUUAAAUGUGAAUUUCACGUAAAAUUCUAACACACAUGGCCCAUGGCCCGUAACACACAGUGAUAAACUUCCGAUCAACGUUGUUGCUGCUGUACUGAAAGGGCCUCUACUUGGCCAGACCCAGCUAGAAGACUAAGAUCAGGGGCACUCUGGACGCAGCCCACAAGGCUAGCUCUCUGCGGCACUGAGCAAGGUCUUCUUGGCUCUUAUUGACUGCUGAUGAAGGAGGAGUUUACAAAGAAAACAAGUCAAAACCUGAAGAACUCUGCUACUGAGAGCAACACACAUAUUUUCCCAGAGUGCAAAGUUGAGAAGAAGAAGUACAAAGCUUUAUUAAUAUUCUGAACAGUACUGCUUAGUAUGAUCUAAUUGAUGGAUUUUCCAUGGACUCCCUAGAGACUGAAAAAGGUUCCAAAAUGGAUGUUCCUGAUGAAUGUGCAUUCAUGUAAUUAUUCAGAGACUCAAACUCCUUCCAUUUAAUGACUCCUCCAUUUCUGGAGUCCCAGGAGUCCUCUUCAAGAGAGCCUCUGUCUUUGGCUGACCUGCAUGAGAAAGUAUAUGGAGGUCAUAUGGAUGAUGUUUCAUGCUGAGCCUGGGUAUGCAGGAGUUCAUUAGAAGACCAGAGAGAGAGACAAGCCACAAUUCAGGAAAACAUCCCAGCGGACUCCUCUCUGCCUUAUGUUUGACAUUCUUGAAAUCUGUGCUCUCUGUCUUGAAAUCUUUGAACAAUGCACAACAAUCUUAGGCUUGCCCAGGGAAACCUGUUCCAUUAGAUGAGGUGAGCUGAUUACAUACCUUCUUUGACUUGUGUUCCCAAGUGAUCUUAUUCCAGAUAUGACUUGGGGAUACUUGUAUGAGCCAUUCUGAUAUUGUCCUAAAAGGAAAUUAUUUUGGAAGUAAAGUCACUGAUAAAAUCAACUCAGGAAAAUGCACUCUGCAAAUAUGAGAAUAUGAGCGUUAUUAAAAGCCAUGCUAUAAAAAUA
This is a non-coding RNA of Macaca mulatta (Rhesus monkey), 1310 nucleotides long. Lineage: Eukaryota; Metazoa; Chordata; Mammalia; Primates; Cercopithecidae. The record is from RefSeq and is a predicted model, not a curated record.